AUUGAACGCUGGCGGCAGGCCUAACACAUGCAAGUCGAACGGUAACAGGAAGAAGCUUGCUUCUUUGCUGACGAGUGGCGGACGGGUGAGUAAUGUCUGGGAAACUGCCUGAUGGAGGGGGAUAACUACUGGAAACGGUAGCUAAUACCGCAUAACGUCGCAAGACCAAAGAGGGGGACCUUCGGGCCUCUUGCCAUCGGAUGUGCCCAGAUGGGAUUAGCUAGUAGGUGGGGUAACGGCUCACCUAGGGGACGAUACCUAGCUGGUCUGAGAGGAUGACCAGCCACACGGGAAUUUAGACACGGUCCAGACUCCUACGGGAGGCAGCAGUGGGGAAUAUUGCACAAUGGGCGCAAGCCUGAUGCAGCCAUGCCGCGUGUAUGAAGAAGGCCUUCUGGUUGUGAAGUACUUUCAGCGGGGAGGAAGGGAGUAAAGUUAAUACCUUUGCUCAUUGACGUUACCCGCAGAAGAAGCACCGGCUAACUCCGUG
RNAcentral lists this ribosomal RNA (490 nucleotides) under uncultured bacterium. Its description in RNAcentral is "partial 16S ribosomal RNA". It matches the Rfam family "Bacterial small subunit ribosomal RNA", at positions 30 to 507 of the family's 1533-position model. The record is from RNAcentral.